RNAcentral lists this ribosomal RNA (2098 nucleotides) under Staphylococcus aureus M0820. RNAcentral describes it as "bacterial LSU rRNA". It matches the Rfam family "Bacterial large subunit ribosomal RNA", at positions 824 to 2925 of the family's 2925-position model. The record is from RNAcentral. Lineage: Bacteria; Bacillati; Bacillota; Bacilli; Caryophanales; Staphylococcaceae.
AAAUUCCAAUCGAACCUGGAGAUAGCUGGUUCUCUCCGAAAUAGCUUUAGGGCUAGCCUCAAGUGAUGAUUAUUGGAGGUAGAGCACUGUUUGGACGAGGGGCCCCUCUCGGGUUACCGAAUUCAGACAAACUCCGAAUGCCAAUUAAUUUAACUUGGGAGUCAGAACAUGGGUGAUAAGGUCCGUGUUCGAAAGGGAAACAGCCCAGACCACCAGCUAAGGUCCCAAAAUAUAUGUUAAGUGGAAAAGGAUGUGGCGUUGCCCAGACAACUAGGAUGUUGGCUUAGAAGCAGCCAUCAUUUAAAGAGUGCGUAAUAGCUCACUAGUCGAGUGACACUGCGCCGAAAAUGUACCGGGGCUAAACAUAUUACCGAAGCUGUGGAUUGUCCUUUGGACAAUGGUAGGAGAGCGUUCUAAGGGCGUUGAAGCAUGAUCGUAAGGACAUGUGGAGCGCUUAGAAGUGAGAAUGCCGGUGUGAGUAGCGAAAGACGGGUGAGAAUCCCGUCCACCGAUUGACUAAGGUUUCCAGAGGAAGGCUCGUCCGCUCUGGGUUAGUCGGGUCCUAAGCUGAGGCCGACAGGCGUAGGCGAUGGAUAACAGGUUGAUAUUCCUGUACCACCUAUAAUCGUUUUAAUCGAUGGGGGGACGCAGUAGGAUAGGCGAAGCGUGCGAUUGGAUUGCACGUCUAAGCAGUAAGGCUGAGUAUUAGGCAAAUCCGGUACUCGUUAAGGCUGAGCUGUGAUGGGGAGAAGACAUUGUGUCUUCGAGUCGUUGAUUUCACACUGCCGAGAAAAGUCUCUAGAUAGAAAAUAGGUGCCCGUACCGCAAACCGACACAGGUAGUCAAGAUGAGAAUUCUAAGGUGAGCGAGCGAACUCUCGUUAAGGAACUCGGCAAAAUGACCCCGUAACUUCGGGAGAAGGGGUGCUCUUUAGGGUUAACGCCCAGAAGAGCCGCAGUGAAUAGGCCCAAGCGACUGUUUAUCAAAAACACAGGUCUCUGCUAAACCGUAAGGUGAUGUAUAGGGGCUGACGCCUGCCCGGUGCUGGAAGGUUAAGAGGAGUGGUUAGCUUCUGCGAAGCUACGAAUCGAAGCCCCAGUAAACGGCGGCCGUAACUAUAACGGUCCUAAGGUAGCGAAAUUCCUUGUCGGGUAAGUUCCGACCCGCACGAAAGGCGUAACGAUUUGGGCACUGUCUCAACGAGAGACUCGGUGAAAUCAUAGUACCUGUGAAGAUGCAGGUUACCCGCGACAGGACGGAAAGACCCCGUGGAGCUUUACUGUAGCCUGAUAUUGAAAUUCGGCACAGCUUGUACAGGAUAGGUAGGAGCCUUUGAAACGUGAGCGCUAGCUUACGUGGAGGCGCUGGUGGGAUACUACCCUAGCUGUGUUGGCUUUCUAACCCGCACCACUUAUCGUGGUGGGAGACAGUGUCAGGCGGGCAGUUUGACUGGGGCGGUCGCCUCCUAAAAGGUAACGGAGGCGCUCAAAGGUUCCCUCAGAAUGGUUGGAAAUCAUUCAUAGAGUGUAAAGGCAUAAGGGAGCUUGACUGCGAGACCUACAAGUCGAGCAGGGUCGAAAGACGGACUUAGUGAUCCGGUGGUUCCGCAUGGAAGGGCCAUCGCUCAACGGAUAAAAGCUACCCCGGGGAUAACAGGCUUAUCUCCCCCAAGAGUUCACAUCGACGGGGAGGUUUGGCACCUCGAUGUCGGCUCAUCGCAUCCUGGGGCUGUAGUCGGUCCCAAGGGUUGGGCUGUUCGCCCAUUAAAGCGGUACGCGAGCUGGGUUCAGAACGUCGUGAGACAGUUCGGUCCCUAUCCGUCGUGGGCGUAGGAAAUUUGAGAGGAGCUGUCCUUAGUACGAGAGGACCGGGAUGGACAUACCUCUGGUGUACCAGUUGUCGUGCCAACGGCAUAGCUGGGUAGCUAUGUGUGGACGGGAUAAGUGCUGAAAGCAUCUAAGCAUGAAGCCCCCCUCAAGAUGAGAUUUCCCAACUUCGGUUAUAAGAUCCCUCAAAGAUGAUGAGGUUAAUAGGUUCGAGGUGGAAGUAUGGUGACAUGUGGAGCUGACGAAUACUAAUCGAUCGAAGACUUAAUCAA